AAAAAAAACCCUCUCACUUCUCCAGUCCUCCUCCCUCUGCUGUCACCACCACCGCCACCGCCAUCGCCACCCUCAGUUUCUACUUCUUACCCAAACCACAUCUGCAUGCCCACCUUCAUCUUUGCUUUGACUCUCCUCUUUUUCUAGUUGACGAAGCGAACCUUCAACCGUUUCAUGGGUUUUGUGAAUCUUUGUUUUCUUCUUCCUCUAAACUUGCAUGCGAUUCUUCUAUUCUGUUGGGUUUGCUGAAGAAGAAAGAAACAAUGAUGCUCUUGUAUAUGUUAUCUAUCAGAUGUGUUACAUGUUUGUCACGGCAAGCAUGCAAGACCAAAUUAUGCAACAUUUUUGGAGAGACAUUGAUAGGGAUCAAGUUAAACACAUCCACUUUGAUAAGGAGAUGAAGAUGAAGUUUAAGUCCCAUGUAUUUUAAUAUUAGUUUAGAUUGGGUUUAAUAAGCUUUAGCUAGCUUAUAGUGUUGGGUAGAUUCUCAUAGAAUGCUUAUCAAUUGCUUGCAAUGUUGAUUUAUAUUCAGCCACAUGGAAUAAAUAAUGUUUGAUUAGUUUA
Quercus robur (English oak) is the source of this 564-nucleotide long non-coding RNA. RefSeq lists it as uncharacterized. The record is from RefSeq and is a predicted model, not a curated record. The transcript is spliced from 2 exons. NCBI's taxonomy places the organism in Eukaryota, Viridiplantae, Streptophyta, Magnoliopsida, Fagales, Fagaceae.